GGCACAUGAGGANNAUUUGCGCAAUGGAGGAAACUCUGACGCAGCCAUGCCGCGUGCAGGAUGAAUGCCCUAUAGGGUUGUAAACUGCUUUUCUGCAAGAAGAAACCUUAGUACGUGUACUAAGUUGACGGUACUGUAGGAAUAAGCACCGGCUAACUCCGUGCCAGCAGCCGCGGGUAAUAU
RNAcentral lists this ribosomal RNA (183 nucleotides) under uncultured Bacteroidota bacterium. RNAcentral's name for it is "uncultured Bacteroidetes bacterium partial 16S ribosomal RNA". It matches the Rfam family "Bacterial small subunit ribosomal RNA", at positions 347 to 526 of the family's 1533-position model. The record is from RNAcentral. Lineage: Bacteria; Pseudomonadati; Bacteroidota.